Molecule: small RNA, 205 nt
Filed under: Xenorhabdus eapokensis
Lineage: Bacteria; Pseudomonadati; Pseudomonadota; Gammaproteobacteria; Enterobacterales; Morganellaceae
Description: rncO
Rfam family: rncO
About the family: This family represents a bacterial regulatory element (rncO) found in the rnc leader sequence. The rnc operon is negatively auto-regulated by transcript stability. rnc, the first gene in the operon codes for RNase III which cleaves the long rncO stem II leading to transcript degradation and a reduction in translation.
Source: RNAcentral
AUAUGAAUACGUUGGGAGCCAGUGCAAACGCAACAGUUUUGUAAGGCAUACAGCAAGGUAAAUUGCGGGUUGUAUUACUGCGAAUUGUAUUGCCUCACAGGUCUGUUGCGUGUGCUUUUAUUUGAUGAAUUCUAACUGAAUUGGUAGCACAUGAACCCCAUAAUAACGAACCGGUUACAACAUAAGCUAGGGUAUAGCUUUAAAC